CCUACGGGCGGCUGCAGUGGGGAAUAUUGCACAAUGGGGGAAACCCUGAUGCAGCAACGCCGCGUGAGUGAGGAAGUAUUUCGGUAUGUAAAGCUCUAUCAGCAGGGAAUAGAAAAGAAGGUACCUGAAAAAGAAGCCCCGGCUAACUACGUGCCAGCAGCCGCGGUAAUACGUAGGGGGCAAGCGUUAUCCGGAUUUACUGGGUGUAAAGGGAGCGUAGACGGAAAGGCAAGUCAGCGGUAAAAGCCCGGGGCUCAACCCCGGCGAGCCGUUGAAACUGGCGGGCUGGAGUUGGAGAGAAGUACGCGGAAUGCGCGGUGUAGCGGUGAAAUGCUUAGAUAUCGCGCAGAACCCCGAUUGCGAAGGCAGCGUACCGGCUCCACACUGACGCUGAGGCACGAAAGCGUGGGUAUCGAACAGGAUUAGAUACCCCUGUAGUC
This 440-nucleotide ribosomal RNA is filed under the name uncultured bacterium. RNAcentral describes it as "partial 16S ribosomal RNA". It matches the Rfam family "Bacterial small subunit ribosomal RNA", at positions 338 to 795 of the family's 1533-position model. The record is from RNAcentral.